Molecule: unclassified non-coding RNA, 321 nt
Filed under: uncultured Geminibasidiales
Lineage: Eukaryota; Fungi; Basidiomycota; Geminibasidiomycetes
Description: sequence contains ITS2
Rfam family: 5.8S ribosomal RNA (bases 1-52)
Source: RNAcentral
AACGCAACUUGCGCCCUCUGGUAUUCCGGAGGGCAUGCCUGUUUGAGUGUCGUGAACACCUCAACCCUCCAAUGUUUUUGCGUUGCAGGUGUUGGUAGUGAGCGCUGCCGGUCUUUGGGUCGGCUCGCUUUAAAAUCAUUAGCUGGAUCCAUUCUGACCUGGUUCUACUCGGCGUAAUAAGUUAUUAUCGUCGAGGACGCCUGGCCUUGUAGGCAGGCGGCCACAGUAAGAGUGUUUGAGCCGCUUCCAACACGUCUUGCUCUUGUAGCAAACACUUGAACCUCUGACCUCAAAUCAGGCAGGACUACCCGCUGAACUUAA